This 116-nucleotide ribosomal RNA is filed under the name Poseidonibacter parvus. Lineage: Bacteria; Pseudomonadati; Campylobacterota; Epsilonproteobacteria; Campylobacterales; Arcobacteraceae. The record is from RNAcentral.
AUAUGUGUUUUUAGAGUUGUGGAUACACCCAUACCCAUUCCGAACAUGGCCGUUAAGCACUUCAUCGCUGAUAAUACUGCAUCUUUCAGGUGUGGAAAUGUAGGACAGUGCAUAUU